This is a long non-coding RNA of Diceros bicornis minor, 931 nucleotides long. RefSeq lists it as uncharacterized. The record is from RefSeq and is a predicted model, not a curated record. The transcript has 5 exons. Lineage: Eukaryota; Metazoa; Chordata; Mammalia; Perissodactyla; Rhinocerotidae.
CUUUCAGACAAUGAGAGAGACCAGCAGGCUUGAAAGUUGCUUCUUGGCAGACCGUGUCCCUAAGGUCCUCUGAGAAGGAAGUCCUACUUGCCAGACUCUUCAGAUUUCAAGAUGAGACACGUGCUAUAAAAGGACCCCAAGGAAGAAAAUGACUUCAGAUAUUGUUGCUGAGCGCGUGGGUUGCUGCUUCCGGGAGAGCAGGUUUGAUCCAAUCCUUGAGAUUUCCUGACUUUAGGGUGCAUUGUCCGUGCCUUGUUCAGCAGGUGGAGCUCUAUAACUACGCAGGAAAUGAUGUGUCUAGGCCUGGAGAUUUUUCUUUUUUGAUUGGAAAGAGGUCAGACUUUUUGGAGGGUGCUGAACACCGUGGACUAUGGUGAUAGAAUUAUUCUUGUGGCAUUUUUUUUAGAAGAGAGUAUUCCUUGGUGUGUUGCUUCUGAUAGUGUUCAACCAUAGAAAGAGUCCACGAUGCCAGCUUCCAUUGAUUUGGGGAGCUGCACAUUUGGAAAUAACUGCUGAUCUUGAUAGUGAAUACUAACUAUAUCUCUGAAGGAAGUGAGCUUUGUAAGAUAUCAUUUUUGACUCAGGAGAAUUGCAAUUAGAAUGUUAAAAUAAAUGCAUAACAUGCAAGCUCUCUGGGAAGCCAGAUCAUUAUACGGAGAUUGGCGAGCAUGGCAUCAGAAUUGGAUUGGAAUGCUUAAUGGCACAGAGUCUGAUCAUUGGGCACAUCCCUCACUAAGAUGGGGAUAUAGCUCCCAUCAGCCUGAGGAGAUCUUCUCCCCUAAGAGAUAUUUGCCCACACGGAUGAAGACCUGCUGCUCAGGAUUUGCUAUUUCUUUAUAUUAAGAGCUUCCUGGGCUGGCCCCGUGGCUUGGCAGUUAAGUGCUCGCGCUCCGCUGCUGGCGGCCCGGGUUCAGAUCCCGGGCGCGCACCA